AUUUUGGGUGCCUCAGAUAUUACUGCCUGGGCUGGCCUCCUUUUCUCUUGACCUCUGAAAGAGGCAGAAGAAAAUUUGGUGUCCUGGAGGACUGCAGCCCUGCCAUUUAGAUGAAGUGGAAGGUCGAAGGAGCUUGCUGGCCCUUGGCUGGUGUGUGCGUCUCAAAUCUAAAUUCCAGAAGAGUCACAGAAGAGGACAAAAGGACACAGAAAUGCAACAGAAAGGAACUGAACCCACAAACAGGGGAGAGUUGCUCUCCAUGAGUAUGUCUGAGAUGCCUUUUACUUCUAAACUAGCCAAUGAUAAUUGUGCUGGCUUGGCUGCAUGGAAGAAUUCUGCACAGCAGUCCCUGGCUCAUAGCAGCAAAGACGGGCUCCAACCUCUUCAGGAGUAGCAUCAUGGGCAGCCACAGCCUGGGGAGCCCUAAGCCACCACUGCCAUUCAAGCCUCCUCCUGUGCUGGCCCAUGAUUGAGCACUCCUCUGCCCAAAUGCUGGUUGCAUAACGUUCCCUCAUUAAAAAUGGACAGAAUUACAGAAAACAAAGGGCUAAAAAUGCAGGUCCAAUGAUUCUGCUGAAAAGGCAGCUUCUUUGCUGGGUCCUAAGCCCCUGUGCACCUCAUGGUGUUUAAAUCUGUGAGGGUGUGCUCAAUGCUGUUUCACCCAGGUCUCACAUAUGCAUGGCAGGGUGCCCUUGGAUUUUUCUUUUUAUUUAAUCUUUGACUUUACAGUGUUGGAACUUGCUUCCCUGUGAAACCGGAGAAGGAGGGAUUGCUGUGUUCUGCUUGUUGUGUGUAUCAGGCUUUGCUUUUGUUUUUAUUCCUUUUAUUGAGUUACAUAAAGAAACUCAGCAACUCUUG
Molecule: long non-coding RNA, 858 nt
Organism: Serinus canaria (Common canary)
Lineage: Eukaryota; Metazoa; Chordata; Aves; Passeriformes; Fringillidae
Exons: 2
Source: RefSeq, a predicted model, not a curated record